GAAGCAGUGUACGUCAGACUUCCAAGAAAAGCUCGCAAUGUCAUAAAUAAUAAAUGCCUGUACCAUAACCGACACAGGUGGGUAGGUAGAGUAUACUAAGGGGCGCGAGAUAACUCUCUCUAAGGAACUCGGCAAAAUGACUCCGUAACUUCGGGAGAAGGAGUGCCUUAUUUAUAAGGUUGCAAUAACAAGAUCCAAGCAACUGUUUAUCAAAAACACAGGUCUCCGCUAAGUCGUAAGACGAUGUAUGGGGGCUGACGCCUGCCCAGUGCCAGAAGGUUAAAGAAGUUGGUUAGUGUAUGCGAAGCUGAUGACUGAAGCCCUGGUGAACGGCGGCCGUAACAAUAACGGUCCUAAGGUAGCGAAAUUCCUUGUCGGGUAAGUUCCGACCCGCACGAAAGGCGUAAUGAUUUGGAUACUGUCUCGGAGAGAGGCUCGGUGAAAUAGACUUGUCUGUGAAGAUGCGGACUACCUGCACCAGGACAGAAAGACCCUAUGAAGCUUUACUGUAACUUGAAAUUGGAAUUGGACUUUGCUUGCGCAGUAUAGGUGGGAAGCGUUGAAGAUAUUCUUGCGGGAGUAUUGGAGCUAUCAGUGAGAUACCACUCUUGUAAUGUUAGAUUUCUAACUUUGAACCAUAAUCUGGUCAAAGAACAGUUUCAGGUGGGCAGUUUGACUGGGGCGGUCGCCUCCCAAAUGGUAACGGAGGCGUACAAAGGUUUCCUCUGAACGGAUAGAAAUCGUAUCUAGAGUGUAAAGGCAUAAGGAAGCUUGACUGUGAGACCUACAAGUCGAGCAGGGACGAAAGUCGGUCUUAGUGAUCUGACGGUACUGAGUGGAAAGGCCGUCACUCAACGGAUAAAAGUUACUCUAAGGAUAACAGGCUGAUCUCCCCCAAGAGUUCACAUCGACGGGGAGGUUUGGCACCUCGAUGUCGGCUCAUCGCAUCCUGGGGCGGUAGUACGUCCCAAGGGUUGGGCUGUUCGCCCAUGAAAGCGGUACGCGAGCUGGGUUCAGAACGUCGUGAGACAGUUCGGUCCAUAUCCGGUGUAGGCGUUAGAAUAUUGAGAGGAGCCUUCUUUAGUACGAGAGGACCGAGAAGGACACACCGCUGGUGUACCAGUUAUCGUGUCAACGGUAAACGCUGGGUAGCUAUGUGUGGAGUGGAUAACCGCUGAAAGCAUCUAAGUGGGAAGCCCACCUCAAGAUGAGUAUUCCC
This 1219-nucleotide ribosomal RNA is filed under the name metagenome. RNAcentral's name for it is "bacterial LSU rRNA". It matches the Rfam family "Bacterial large subunit ribosomal RNA", at positions 1587 to 2815 of the family's 2925-position model. The record is from RNAcentral.